Molecule: ribosomal RNA, 506 nt
Filed under: uncultured bacterium
Lineage: Bacteria
Description: partial 16S ribosomal RNA
Rfam family: Bacterial small subunit ribosomal RNA
Source: RNAcentral
AGUGAACGCUGGCGGUAGGCCUAACACAUGCAAGUCGAACGGCAGCACAGGAGAGCUUGCUCUCUGGGUGGCGAGUGGCGGACGGGUGAGGAAUACAUCGGAAUCUACUCUGUCGUGGGGGAUAACGUAGGGAAACUUACGCUAAUACCGCAUACGACCUACGGGUGAAAGCAGGGGACCUUCGGGCCUUGCUCGAUUGAAUGAGCCGAUGUCGGAUUAGCUAGUUGGCGGGGUAAAGGCCCACCAAGGCGACGAUCCGUAGCUGGUCUGAGAGGAUGAUCAGCCUCACUGGAACUGAGACACGGUCCAGACUCCUACGGGAGGCAGCAGUGGGGAAUAUUGGACAAUGGGCGCAAGCCUGAUCCAGCCAUACCGCGUGGGUGAAGAAGGCCUUCGGGUUGUAAAGCCCUUUUGUUGGGAAAGAAAUCCAGCUGGCUAAUACCCGGUUGGGAUGACGGUACCCAAAGAAUAAGCACCGGCUAACUUCGUGCCAGCAGCCGCCGUAA